RNAcentral lists this ribosomal RNA (507 nucleotides) under uncultured bacterium. RNAcentral describes it as "partial 16S ribosomal RNA". The stretch from base 16 to 371 matches the Rfam family "Bacterial small subunit ribosomal RNA", at positions 43 to 396 of the family's 1533-position model. The record is from RNAcentral.
GACGAACGCUGGCGGCGUGCUUAACACAUGCAAGUCGAACGGAAAGGCCCUGCUUUUGUGGGGUGCUCGAGUGGCGAACGGGUGAGUAACACGUGAGUAACCUGCCCUUGACUUUGGGAUAACUUCAGGAAACUGGGGCUAAUACCGGAUAGGAGCUCCUGCUGCAUGGUGGGGGUUGGAAAGUUUCGGCGGUUGGGGAUGGACUCGCGGCUUAUCAGCUUGUUGGUGGGGUAGUGGCUUACCAAGGCUUUGACGGGUAGCCGGCCUGAGAGGGUGACCGGGACACAUGUGAAGUAGACGAGGGCGCAGGAGCACAGGGGCGAGAGGAGGGGAGAAUAGCGGCCAGUGGGCAGAAGCCGGAUGCAGCAGCGGGGCUUGGGGGAGGACGGUUUUCGUGUGGUAAGCCGUUGCGGGUGGUGAGGGAGGGGGAGGGGAGGUAAUGGGUAAAGACGCACGGUAAAAAUAAGGGGCAGCCGCGGGGAUGAAGGGUAAGAGCACGCGGCUGCA